This 2073-nucleotide long non-coding RNA is filed under the name Salmo salar (Atlantic salmon). Its description in RNAcentral is "lncRNA (ENSSSAG00000085132.1, ENSSSAG00075067413.1)". The record is from RNAcentral. Lineage: Eukaryota; Metazoa; Chordata; Actinopteri; Salmoniformes; Salmonidae.
UUCUUGGGUAUGACGCUACGAGCUUGGCACACAAGUAUAUGGGGAGUCUCCCAUUCUUCUCUAUUUUCAGGUCUCUCCAGAGAUGUUCGAUCGGGUUCAACUCUGGCCCCUUCCUCCCCUGGCUGUGCCGUGAAGGGUCCAAGAGCACUUCAGCAGUUAGAGAUGUUAUCUUAACAGCAUCAGAAGAGACAUCCAUGGCUGGAGUAAUUUCAUAAGCAGAAUGCUGUAAGGGUUGUGAGGUUUGCAUUUUCAGCCCAUUUCAUUAAAAACUCCAUGAGUUCCAUAUGGAAUGUUGAAUGGAACCUCUGCCCAGCUCAGAAGGUCUUGGCAUCCAGAUCCAGCAGGAAAAUGCUUUUCUCCUGGAAACAGAAAUAUAGAGAGGAACAAACACAGGCUCAGAUGGGAACCGAACAGGGUGGCACCACGCCUAUACAAAGAAAAUGUAAAUGCAUUACGCCCUUAAAAAUUUGACACAACAGUACGUUUCUCGGUCUCUAGAUUAAUAUUCAUAGUAGUAGCAGGAUGGACGCGGUAUGGACGCACAUUGUAGUGGGCAUAGUUGAUCUAUGGGAACUCCAGGUCACAGUACUGGAGCAACUCUUCAUCAGAGAUCCAAGUGAUUACAGUAUACUGUAUGUCAGGUAGACAUGGCAACAAACACAUCACCUUUUCUUUUCAUCAACCAGAACAUGCGUCACAAUGCCUUAGCGUUAACAGACAGAGUUAGCCAUUUAUGGUAUGAUGAUUAUGGUAUGAUGACUAAAGGGGUUGCAGGUUCAUUUCCAAUUGUGCUUGAGUGCUUUGCUUCCCCUCUUAGAGCAACAAUCCUUAGUUUGGUAUAAGACAGACAAUGGUAUAAAAAUGUCAGUCAAACACAAACACAAACACACACACACAGUGUUUUCUGCAGUUGCUUGACAGAAAGGUUGAGUGACAAGGUUUUGGUCACGAGGUGUGUCAUUAGUCGCCUUCAGGGGUAGGAUGUAUCUCAGUCGUGUGGGAUCAAUAGCAUCUCAAGUACAAAGAAAAAAGAAAUCUCAUUAGCGUGCAAGAUUCAUGCAGGGUAGUAACGUAAUGAGUUGUGAUUUUGGUUCAUUGUUUACCUAGCUAGCUAGCUAAUGUUAGCUGGCUGGCUCGCUAGCUAAUGUUAUGUGUAUGACCUCAUUAUUCGUAUCUCAGAGCCAUUUGCUAAGCUAGUUAUAGCCUGAUGUUAGCUAGCUAACAUUAAACCUGGUUGGUUAGCUACCUGCAGAUUCAUGCAGGUUAGUAACAUCAUGAGUUGGGAUUAUGGUUCAUUGUUUACCUAGCUAGCUAGCUUCAUGUCUUAACAAAAGACUCCACUAUGCAAGUAACCAUUUCGGGUGCGUUCGUAAAUUCAGUCUGGCCAUCUACUCCGAUUUCAGAGCACUCUUAUCUGAGUGUGCCAGAGAGCACAGAACAAUGAUGAAUUUACAAACGUUCAACACCCGUUGAAUAUGGCCAGUAAACGUAGGCAAAAAAGUGUAAUUCAAUUGUUGCCAUUAGCACAGUUAGUCACCAACGCUCUGGAUAACAUGAAAACAGCCAGCUCUGCUAGGGCGAAUAAAAUGGUCAGAGUGGGGUGUUCUCUCAUUAUGUGUCUGGAAGUAGCUUGCAAGUUCGCCAAUGUUAGCCAGUUAGCUUGGGUGCUUGACUGCCGUUCGGAUCAACCCUACUCAUCGGCCAUAGCGUCCGGUGUGCGCUCUGAAUGCGAAACGCACUGCAUUUUCAAACGGACAAUCUGACAGCACAAUUUCAGUCACCAACGCUCUGGAUAACAUAACAGCCUAACCAGCCCUGCUAUGGCGAGUAAUGUUCAGUGAGCUUUUCUCUCACUUAGAUGUCUGGAAGAAGCUAGCAAGUUAGUUUGGGUGCUUGACUGCUGUUGUUAGUACAUUCUGAUCAACCCUUAAAAAGAUGGUUGGGGCUAAAGCUUAAGAGGGUGUGAGCGAUGCCGAAUGGGUGUAGACAAGGAAAGGCUCUCCAAUAGUAGUACCAAAGCAUUAAAGGGCCAUAAAAGUGAGUUUACAAGUUUAUCAACUUUCAAAGCAAAAU